GUGUCAGCCGCCGCGGUAAUACGGAGGGGGCGAGCGUUAUUCGGAAUUAUUGGGCGUAAAGGGCGCGUAGGCGGCUGAACAAGUCAAAGGUGAAAUCCCUCGGCUCAACUGAGGAACUGCCUUUGAAACUGUUCGGCUUGAGGCCGGGAGGGGGUAGCGGAAUUCCCAGUGUAGCGGUGAAAUGCGUAGAUAUUGGGAGGAACACCAGUGGCGAAGGCGGCUACCUGGACCGGUUCUGACGCUGAGGCGCGAAAGCGUGGGUAGCAAACAGGAUUAGAUACCCCCGUAGUCC
Molecule: ribosomal RNA, 292 nt
Filed under: uncultured bacterium
Lineage: Bacteria
Description: partial 16S ribosomal RNA
Rfam family: Bacterial small subunit ribosomal RNA
Source: RNAcentral